RNAcentral lists this transfer RNA (92 nucleotides) under Candidatus Daviesbacteria bacterium RIFCSPHIGHO2_01_FULL_43_17. RNAcentral's name for it is "tRNA-Ser". It matches the Rfam family "tRNA". Rfam says of the family: Transfer RNA (tRNA) molecules are approximately 80 nucleotides in length. Their secondary structure includes four short double-helical elements and three loops (D, anti-codon, and T loops). RNAcentral also lists the same sequence under 2 other names. The record is from RNAcentral. Lineage: Bacteria; Candidatus Daviesiibacteriota.
GGUGGGAUGGCUGAGUGGACGAAAGCGAUUGUUUCGAAAACAAUUAUCCUGAGUAAUCGGGAUCACAGGUUCGAAUCCUGUUCCCACCGCUA